Molecule: ribosomal RNA, 1056 nt
Filed under: Scytalidium auricola (nom. inval.)
Lineage: Eukaryota; Fungi; Ascomycota; Leotiomycetes
Description: SSU rRNA
Rfam family: Eukaryotic small subunit ribosomal RNA
Source: RNAcentral
GUCAGACAUGUCUAGUAUAGCACUAUACUGUGAAACUGCGAAUGGCUCAUUAAAUCAGUUAUCGUUUAUUUGAUAGUACCUUACUACUUGGAUAACCGUGGUAAUUCUAGAGCUAAUACAUGCUAAAAACCUCGACUUCGGAAGGGGUGUAUUUAUUAGAUAAAAAACCAAUGCCCUUCGGGGCUCCUUGGUGAUUCAUAAUAACUUAUCGAAUCGCAUGGCCUUGUGCCGGCGAUGGUUCAUUCAAAUUUCUGCCCUAUCAACUUUCGAUGGUAGGAUAGUGGCCUACCAUGGUUUCAACGGGUAACGGGGAAUUAGGGUUCUAUUCCGGAGAGGGAGCCUGAGACACGGCUACCACAUCCAAGGAAGGCAGCAGGCGCGCAAAUUACCCAAUCCCGACGCGGGGAGGUAGUGACAAUAAAUACUGAUACAGGACUCUUUUGGGUCUUGUAAUUGGAAUGAGUACAAUUUAAAUCCCUUAACGAGGAACAAUUGGAGGGCAAGUCUGGUGCCAGCAGCCGCGGUAAUUCCAGCUCCAAUAGCGUAUAUUAAAGUUGUUGCAGUUAAAAAGCUCGUAGUUGAACCUUGGGCCUGGCUGGCCGGUCCGCCUCACCGCGUGCACUGGUCCGGCCGGGCCUUUCCUUCUGGGGAGCCGCAUGCCCUUCACUGGGUGUGUCGGGGAACCAGGACUUUUACUUUGAAAAAAUUAGAGUGUUCAAAGCAGGCCUAUGCUCGAAUACAUUAGCAUGGAAUAAUAGAAUAGGACGUGUGGUUCUAUUUUGUUGGUUUCUAGGACCGCCGUAAUGAUUAAUAGGGAUAGUCGGGGGCAUCAGUAUUCAAUUGUCAGAGGUGAAAUUCUUGGAUUUAUUGAAGACUAACUACUGCGAAAGCAUUUGCCAAGGAUGUUUUCAUUAAUCAGUGAACGAAAGUUAGGGGAUCGAAGACGAUCAGAUACCGUCGUAGUCUUAACCAUAAACUAUGCCGACUAGGGAUCGGGCGAUGUAUUUUUUUGACUCGCUCGGCACCUUACGAGGAAAUCAAAGUCUUUGGGUUCUG